RNAcentral lists this long non-coding RNA (1689 nucleotides) under Phoenix dactylifera (date palm). RNAcentral's name for it is "long non-coding RNA (PDAC_LNC014098)". The record is from RNAcentral. Lineage: Eukaryota; Viridiplantae; Streptophyta; Magnoliopsida; Arecales; Arecaceae.
CCCGUAACAGAUAAUUAUUCUCAAAAUUUACUAAAUGACUUUCAAUCAAAAUACCAAUUCACAUUGUAAUUGGAAAAUAUCUAAUAUUUCAUAUUCCAAGUAAACAAAGGAAAAACUCUUAAGUCUCAUCCUCAAAUAUAUUUUCUUUCUAUAUAACAGUUUCAUGCAUAAUUGUUAUACAUAUUUCAUCCUCGAACAAUAUAAAAUAUUUUUUUGGUCCAAGCCUUAAACAACUUAUGAAUGAACCCUAUCUUGCUAUCAAAAUAAUUAACUUCAAACUAGAAGUAUUAUUCACAGUACUCGAUAUCAAGUUGAUCUUGCAAAAUCACUUAUAUACUAAUACACAAACAAUCACAAUGUACUUUAAUAUUCCAUGGCUAGUACUCCACUUAAUAUUAGUCAAAAUCUAAUUUAAUCAUAACUUGAAAAUUUGGUACAUUUUUAUCACAAUCACUAGUGAUCUUCAACUUUAAGCUCUCAUACAUUCCUAUCACAUUUCCUAUUGCUCUUAAACCUUCAUUCUGAUUCAAAUUUUAUUACAAUUCUCAAUGAUCUUAAACCUCCAACUUUGAAACCACUUGUGCCACAGUCUUUAGUAGUCUUAAACCUUAAGCUCUUGUAUCAUUCAUAUCGCAAUCCUAAGUGAUCUUAAAUCUAGCUUCUGAUAGUUUAAUUGCCAUAAUUUCCAAUGAUCUUAAACCUAAGCUCUGAUACCACUAAAUGCCACGCACCGGAUCCGAACAUGAUUUUUUUUUUUUUGCACCCCAGAUCCGGUUCAUAACACGGCCGUGCUAUUGUAGGUUGUUGCCCACAAUAACACGAAGCCCAUAAUAACAAUUUUAUUUCAUGAAAUAAGAUCAAAUCUGAUCAAAUUUAUUUACUAAUCAUAAAGAAACAAGUACAGAGCAUCUAAAUCAAAUACUUGAGUUUACAAUAUUACAACCCAAACUUAUUAACUAUGCUUCAACUCCAAUUUUCAUUUACUCUUUCCCGCUCCUAAUCGCCUUAAUUAUCUAAAAUAAAUAAAAAAACAACAGGAGGGGUAUGAGCUUGCGGCUCAGUAGGUAACCAUGUACUAUCUUAUCAGAUCAACCAUAAUCUUUCUCAUGCCAAUGCAUCAUUUGAAGAAUUUAACAGCAAAAUAAAGCAUUUCAUAGAUGAUUUAUUCAAAACAAGUUAUAAAGCAAUGUAUGCUCCAACCAUGUAAGUUCAUAAAUAUGAUAAUGCAAGUCAUAUAAAAAUGCUGCCAUUCACCCAUACUUUAUAAAUCUUACUCUUAGACGGAUGUGCUGCUAUGGUCACUAUAAUCCUGUGACAGGGCUUGUAUUCAUAGUCGACAAGUUUUAUAACACAUUCAUAUUCGUUACCAACUUUAACCCAUUGGCAAAGGGCCAUAUUCGUUGGAUGCUAGCUCCAGGGGGGUCGACUGACCUCUAUUUUUAGAGGUGGGCAUAGCUAUUUGAGAGUUCAUAAAUCAUUAUUCUUUUUCAUAAAUCAUACUUUCAUACAUAGGUUGAAAAAUGACAAAUGGCAUUGUAAUGUAUAAAAUUCAUGAUCAUGCCACAAAUCUUAUUUUCAUGUAAUUUAUCAUAAUCAUAAUUCAUCGUAAUGUAUAAAAUUCAUGAUCAUGCUACAAAUCUUAUUUUCAUGCAAUUUAUCAUAACCAUAAUUCAUACUCAAAUUUUUAUG